GACGAACGCUGGCGGCGUGCUUAACACAUGCAAGUCGAACGGAAAGGCCCUGCUUUUGUGGGGUGCUCGAGUGGCGAACGGGUGAGUAACACGUGAGUAACCUGCCCUUGACUUUGUGAUAACUUCAGGAAACUGGGGCUAAUACCGGAUAGGAGCUCCUGCUGCAUGGUGGGGGUUGGAAAGUUUCGGCGGUUGGGGAUGGACUCGCGGCUUAUCAGCUUGUUGGUGGGGUAGUGGCUUACCAAGGCUUUGACGGGUAGCCGGCCUGAGAGGGUGACCGGCCACAUUGGGACUGAGAUACGGCCCAGACCCCUACGGGAGGCAGCAGUGGGGAAUAUUGCACAAUGGGCGGAAGCCUGAUGCAGCAACGCCGCGUGCGGGAUGACGGCCUUCGGGUUGUAAACCGCUUUCGCCUGUGACGAAGCGUGAGUGACGGUAAUGGGUAAAGAAGCACCGGCUAACUACGUG
Molecule: ribosomal RNA, 468 nt
Filed under: uncultured bacterium
Lineage: Bacteria
Description: partial 16S ribosomal RNA
Rfam family: Bacterial small subunit ribosomal RNA
Source: RNAcentral